Molecule: unclassified non-coding RNA, 372 nt
Filed under: uncultured Rhodanobacteraceae bacterium
Lineage: Bacteria; Pseudomonadati; Pseudomonadota; Gammaproteobacteria; Lysobacterales; Rhodanobacteraceae
Description: contains 16S-23S intergenic spacer region
Source: RNAcentral
UCCGGUUUGUCACCGGCAGUCUCCCUAGAGUGCCCUUGCGUAGCAACUAGGGACAAGGGUUGCGCUCGUUGCGGGACUUAACCCAACAUCUCACGACACGAGCUGACGACAGCCAUGCAGCACCUGUGUUCCGAUUCCCGAAGGCACCCCCGCAUCUCUGCAGGGUUCCGGACAUGUCAAGACCAGGUAAGGUUCUUCGCGUUGCAUCGAAUUAAACCACAUACUCCACCGCUUGUGCGGGCCCCCGUCAAUUCCUUUGAGUUUCAGUCUUGCGACCGUACUCCCCAGGCGGCGAACUUAACGCGUUAGCUUCGACACUGAGUGCCAAGUUGCACCCAACGUCCAGUUCGCAUCGUUUAGGGCGUGGACUAC